Molecule: ribosomal RNA, 425 nt
Filed under: uncultured bacterium
Lineage: Bacteria
Description: partial 16S ribosomal RNA
Rfam family: Bacterial small subunit ribosomal RNA
Source: RNAcentral
GUGGGGAAUCUUAGACAAUGGGCGCAAGCCUGAUCUAGCCAUGCCGCGUGAACGAUGAAGGCCUUCGGGUUGUAAAGUUCUUUAGCCGAUGAUUAUAAUGACUGUAGUCGGAAAAUAAGCCCCGGCUAACUUCGUGCCAGCAGCCGCGGUAAUACGAAGGGGGCGAGCGUUAUUCGGAAUCACUGGGCGUAAAGCGUGCGUAGGCGGUCUCGUAAGUUAGGAGUGAAAGCCCAGGGCUCAACCUUGGAAUUGCUCUUAAAACUGCAAGGCUAGAAUCUCGGAGAGGAUAGCGGAAUUUCCAGUGUAGCAGUGAAAUGCGUAGAUAUUGGAAGGAACACCAGUGGCGUAAGCGGCUAUCUGGACGAGUAUUGACGCUGAGGCACGAAAGCGUGGGGAUCAAACAGGAUUAGAAACCCUGGUAGUCC